Molecule: ribosomal RNA, 496 nt
Filed under: uncultured bacterium
Lineage: Bacteria
Description: partial 16S ribosomal RNA
Rfam family: Bacterial small subunit ribosomal RNA
Source: RNAcentral
GACGAACGCUGGCGGCGUGCCUAAUACAUGCAAGUUGAGCGCUGAAGGUUGGUACUUGUACCAACUGGAUGAGCAGCGAACGGGUGAGUAACGCGUGGGGAAUCUGCCUUUGAGCGGGGGACAACAUUUGGAAACGAAUGCUAAUACCGCAUAAAAACUUUAAACACAAGUUUUAAGUUUGAAAGAUGCAAUUGCAUCACUCAAAGAUGAUCCCGCGUUGUAUUAGCUAGUUGGUGAGGUAAAGGCUCACCAAGGCGAUGAUACAUAGCCGACCUGAGAGGGUGAUCGGCCACAUUGGGACUGAGACACGGCCCAAACUCCUACGGGGGGCAGCAGUAGGGAAUCUUCGGCAAUGGACGAAAGUCUGACCGAGCAACGCCGCGUGAGUGAAGAAGGUUUUCGGAUCGUAAAACUCUGUUGGUAGAGAAGAACGUUGGUGAGAGUGGAAAGCUCAUCAAGUGACGGUAACUACCCAGAAAGGGACGGCUAACUACGU